CCGCCAUGUAACCCGUGUGACUUUGUCAAUUCAUUGCCCUUCUUUCGUUAACUAUACUUCACUUCCUAUUUAUUUACCAAACUACCCCUCUCCGUAUUUUCUUUCCUACCAACCUACCUUCCUUCUUCCCCCUUUUGACUAUUGAAAGUCUACCAAACAUAAAUCUCUCUCUCUUUCUGGAUUUCAGACUUAAAACCUCUAUAAAUAAAAACCCAUUCAGCUCUCAGUUCUUCCUCAGAGCCUCCAUUGCUUCUCUCUCUAAAAGCUUUUACAAGAGAGAAAAGCAGAGGAAGCUUGAGCGGGGAUGGCUCUCUCAACCCUUUCUUCCAAGUCUUUAUACAGCAACGCCCAGUGUUUCUCUUCUCAGCAACACCACCAAAAGCACCAACCACCUCUCUUUCUCCUUCCCGGAAACAGGACCAACAAGCCCAGGUCUCUCCCCUCAAUCACCGCAGUUCAUGCUGCUGAGCCCGCUAAGAAUACUGUUUCAAUUGAGUCCAAGGCGGCGGUGCCCGUUGCUGCCCCGGGUGCCGGGAAAUGGACGUUGGAUAGCUGGAAAACGAAGAAAGCUUUGCAGCUUCCAGAAUACCCGGAUAAGGAUGACCUGGAGUCAGUGUUGAAGACUAUCGAAGCAUUUCCACCCAUUGUUUUCGCUGGGGAAGCCAGGAAUUUAGAAGAGAGGCUUGCUGAGGCUGCCAUGGGGAAUGCAUUUUUGUUGCAAGGUGGUGAUUGUGCAGAGAGUUUCAAGGAGUUUAGCGCUAAUAACAUAAGGGAUACUUUUAGAAUUCUGCUUCAGAUGGGUGUUGUGCUUAUGUUUGGCGGCCAAAUGCCCAUCAUUAAGGUGGGAAGAAUGGCAGGUCAAUUUGCAAAGCCUAGAUCAGAUCCAUUCGAGGAGAAGAAUGGAGUGAAGUUGCCAAGUUACAAGGGAGACAAUAUAAAUGGAGAUGCUUUUGACGAGAAGUCAAGAAUUCCAGACCCACAGAGGUUGAUAAGAGCUUAUUGCCAAUCUGCAGCAACUCUCAACCUUCUUAGGGCCUUUGCCACUGGAGGGUAUGCUGCAAUGCAGAGAGUUACUCAGUGGAAUCUUGACUUUGCAGAGCACAGUGAGCAAGGAGAUAGGUACCAAGAACUGGCACAUCGAGUUGAUGAGGCCUUAGGAUUCAUGGCUGCUGCAGGACUAACAGUGGAACACCCUAUUAUGACAACAACUGAAUUCUGGACAUCCCAUGAAUGCUUGCAUUUGCCCUACGAGCAAGCUCUGACAAGGUUGGAUUCAACUUCAGGCCUGUACUAUGAUUGCUCUGCCCACAUGCUUUGGUGUGGAGAGCGUACCCGUCAAUUGGAUGGUGCCCAUGUAGAGUUCCUUAGAGGAAUUUCUAACCCUCUUGGUAUCAAGGUGAGCAACAAAAUGGAUCCGAAUGAACUGGUUAAACUCAUUGAAAUUCUGAAUCCUAACAACAAGCCCGGAAGGAUAACAAUCAUCUGUAGAAUGGGUGCUGAGAACAUGAGAGUCAAGCUUCCUCUCUUGAUCAGAGCAGUGCGCCGGGCCGGACAAAUUGUGACAUGGGUCUGUGAUCCAAUGCAUGGGAAUACCAUUAAGGCACCGUGUGGACUAAAAACACGUCCCUUCGAUGCAAUUUUGGUAAGAUUUAUCUGUCAUGUCACUUGAUUAUAGAGUCUAUAAAUUAGACAGACAUUUGAUGGAUCGACAUGCCAAUGUUAAGAACUGCAAUCAAAUGUACAUAGAAUAGAACUUACUGAAGAUAAAAAUUUUAUAUUGGUUAGUAAUUGCAACUUCAUGUGCUGCUUUUGAAGUUAGCUUUCUCUAUGCUCUAGUAGUGAGAAGCAAUGUCCUAUAUCAUGAUACUAAAUUGUGAUAUCAAUUUAAGACUACAGUUGCUUGAAUCAUUAAGGCCUGAACAAUCUGUGGUUUCCAUUGAGGUGCGGUAGUUUUAUGGUCGUUUUGUGCCAAAUAACAUCAACCUAUGGUUUUCGGUAGGUGACAUAUCAUAUUCAAUAUAAAUCAUUUUUAGAAGUAUUUUGUUAUGUAGAACAGUUCAAUAAUUGAACUUAUGAUCUACUGUUGGUUGGUGAGGUGGGGCUCUAAUGUUUCUGUUUAUCGGGCCAUGUGUCUCUCACCUCUUAACUGGGAAAUGUCCUAAAACUGUUCACAGGAAUGAAUAUAGUACAAUUUUUUUUACUGUAGCUCCUCCUUCAACUCAAGCUCAUGAUAUUUUAAUUGUUUGCAGGCUGAGGUUAGAGCAUUCUUUGAUGUCCAUGAUCAAGAAGGAAGCCACCCUGGAGGAGUUCAUCUGGAGAUGACUGGACAAAAUGUGACAGAGUGCCUUGGGGGAUCACUUGCUGUGACAUUGGAUGACUUGACUUCACACUACCACACCCACUGUGACCCUAG
This 2413-nucleotide unclassified non-coding RNA is filed under the name Hevea brasiliensis (rubber tree). Lineage: Eukaryota; Viridiplantae; Streptophyta; Magnoliopsida; Malpighiales; Euphorbiaceae. The record is from RNAcentral.